Cavia porcellus (domestic guinea pig) is the source of this 4024-nucleotide long non-coding RNA. RefSeq lists it as uncharacterized. NCBI's taxonomy places the organism in Eukaryota, Metazoa, Chordata, Mammalia, Rodentia, Caviidae. The transcript is spliced from 4 exons. The record is from RefSeq and is a predicted model, not a curated record.
GAUUUCAGGGCAGGGAUGGAAGAGGGAUGGGCAUUACCUGGUGUCUCCUAAGCCCAUCUGAGUGGACAGAAGAGCCCAAUGGUCGCAGCCUCGGGUUGUAAGGUUGGCAUCCCUGAGCUCCACCAGAGCCACCAAGCAGCAGAGAGGCACUCAAGGUUCCACUGAGCCAAGGGAACUGAAGAUCUAGCGGGAAACAGAAGGUGUGGCUUGGUCAGAUGGAGGGUGUAGCAAGUGGAAGUGAUCAAGUGGGAAGAUCCAGGACCCCAGGAGCUGGAGAUAAAAUGAUAAAUAGAAGGAGAAGAUGCUGUAGGCGAUGACAGGAGGCUGGUUUUCAAAGGCGUCAGAGAAGGAAGAUGGGCUCUGAAGGCAGCAAUGGCCUCUAGAAAGCGUUUGCAGGAAGUGUCUUGUUUCUAUUCAUGCCUAAUAAGGAUGAAACAAAGGAGAAAAAGGGUGCCCCGUUUCUUGGAUGAGGGCUUCGGGAUGUGAUAUGCAAGAGCCUUCAGAGGAAAUGACUUGGGGCAAUCCUGAGAUGCCCCAAGGAGGACAUCGAAGAUUAAGUUCAAAAUUUUGUCACUGUGUGGUGUUAACACUCGACUGACCCACACAUGGAACCUACAACUAAGGGGUGUGGGGACCCCAGUUAGGUGGACAGAAGCCAUAGUAACAAAAGGGACACCUUGCACAUACUGCAGACCUUGGGAUUGUACCCAAGGCAUGAUUUCAUUGGGGGGAGAAUCGAGCUCUUUAACCAAAUCUUCAAAAGGCAGAAAAAAUAGGAAAAAUUACAAAACCAAGAGAAAAAUAUAGUCAAGUCCUUACUGUGCUACCACAGAAAGUAUCUUGAACACUAAAUGGGAAAUAUGACUCACAACUGCUGGAUCCUGAUUCUCCCGGCCAGGAACAGGAACAAAUACUGCAAAAUGCUGGCAUGAACUCUCAGGCGAAGAGAGGAGCUGAAGGGCAGUCCGCUUCCCGUCUGAGUCACGGCAUCAUUACUGCCAAAGAAAAACCAUAAUCGAGCAUAUACACUACCCUACCUGUCUUUGAGUGUCUGACAAACAAAAGUGAAUUUGGCAUACUUUUAGAAGACACUUCAAGAUUCUAAGACACCUGACCUUUUGCCGGUACUCUCAGCAGAUGGUUCAGAGUCUUAUAAAGGAACAAUACCCUCAUGAGGCCUGCAGUGACUGUUCAUUAGAACUGCCUUCCCUUCCCUGAAGGGAUUGCACUGGAUAUGGAAGAUCUGAAUUAACUCACCAAGAUUUCAAUAAUGUUUCAAUGGGAUUACAACUACAAACUUCCCAGACCGUGAAGAGGACAAAAAGGAAUUAUAAUAUUUGGAUUAUGAUACCCUUGUAUACUCUAACUACAACAUUCAGCAACUGUUGUAUUCAUUCAUCUUUUACAAAAGGAGAACUGACAAUGUUGAACUUUCCCUGAGGUUUAUGUUCCUGGGAAACAGUGAUGAUUAAGAAAUUCACUCAUCAUUGUCCAAGAAAAGAUAAAAGAUAAGAUGAAGGUCCAUAAUACAUGUGUAUCAGCGCCUGUGGCCAACUGUGUUUUUGACAGUGGGGAAGAACAGUCUUUUUAAUAAAUGAUUGUGAGACAAGUGAAUAGCUACAAGCAAAACAAGGACUUAAAUUCUCACUUCACAGCAUAAGUAAAAGGUGAUUAGGUCAAAGUAAAAUUAGAUACCUAAACCCAAAAGCUAAAACUGUAAACAUGUUGCAGAAAAAAAGGUGACUCUUCAUGACCUCAGAUCUGUGAUGGACAUCAAAAGCACAAGCAUCAAAUGAAAAAUAUUGCUAAAAUGAGCAUAAUAUAAAUGAUAAAAAAAUUACCUUCAAAGGAUAGUAUCAGGAUGUGCUCGAUAGCUGAGUGCUUGCCUGCCACGUGGGGGUCCCUGGCUUCGAAAGCCCAGCACUGCACACUCACACACAUGAGUGAGAAAAAACCACAGGCUCUAGAGAUUCUUAUACAUUAUAUAUCUGAUAGAGAAAUUUGUGUCUUGGAAAUAGAAAGGACAGUUACAACACAAUAAAAAAACAAGUCACAUAACCUAAACAAAAGUAGAAAAAUAUCUACACAAAUAUGUCUGAAAGGGAGAGGAAGGAACAUCCAAUAAGCAUAUGAAAAGAUGCUCUGUGCUGUUAAUCAUUAAGUAAAUGCAAAUCACAGUGGAAAUUACACCCCACCUCAGCAUCAAAAUAGCUAAAAUUGAAGUGUUGACAAGGACCCGGAGGAACGAAAAUCUUGUGGACUUCUAGUGGAAAUAUAAAAUAAUGCAGGAACUAGCGCAGCAACAUGUCAAUUUUCUUCAAAGUUAAAUAUAGAUUUAUCAUUUGAUACAGACACCCACUGCUAGCAUGGCCAAGAGAAAUGCAAACACGAAAACUUGGACGCAAGUGUCUGUGGCUGGAGUUUUCAUAGUAGCUAUAAUGUUGAAAUCAACUUAAGUAUCAAUUAAUUGGUGAAUGGGUAGAAGACUAUGUGGCAUAUCCAUACAGUGGAAUAUUAUUUCAACAUUAAAAGGAAUGAAGCAUUGAUACACACUGCAACUUGGAUGACCUUGAAUACAUUCUGCUAAGUUAGAGUACCAGUCACAAGUGACAGCAUAUGAAUGAUUUGCUUAUAUAUAGCGUCCAGAAUAAACCCAGAGGGAAAAACGUCAGCUAAAAGUUGCUUAGAGAUGGGAGGGCUGAGGUUGUGGAUAUAGUAGGCAAACGGUAAUUUGUUUUUGAGAUGAUGAAACUUCUCUAAAAUUGCCUGUAGUGAUAGGUUCUAAAUACAUCAGUAUACUAAAAACUGUUUUAAAUGAACAAAUUCUGUCGUUUGUUAACUGUUAUCUCAAUAAAACUGUUAGAAACAAAGAAAGAUGAAUGAUGUAUGUUAGCAGUCGGGAGCCCAUUGUGAACUAUCAGUGCCCAUGAUUUUUCCUAUUUCACAUCGUUUUAUGAGUCAUUUGGAGAGUACCAUGUUGAUUUUGUCUGACGCAUUCAUAUAAUUCAUUUUAGCUGGAGACUUGACAGACUAGAAGACAUAAGAUGAUGUCUCUUACCUGUCUGACCGCCUGCUGCUGGCUUUUCACUGGGAAACUUUGCUUUUUUCCCACAUGACCCUUCAUCUUUUGGUAGCUAAACUCAUUUUCCCUUCAUGGCUGUCUCUGAGGAGUGUUCUGAGAAAAUAAAACCAGAAGGUGUAAGAUAUGUUAAGUCUCACCUGGGAAAUCAAAUUUUCAUUUCCAUCAGUCUGUUGGUCAAAGCAAGACUCGAGAAAAUGGUGAGAAAACCUUCAGCUCAUACUCAAGAAGAUGGGGAUAAAAACUUUACAACUGGAUGGGUGGCUGGGCGGUCACAUUGUAAUAUAGCUCUGUCUUACUAAUUUACCACAGUUUCCUUAGGAUUUUGAACUUUAUCUUUUAGUGAUUGGGACAACCCCAAAAAGACCUCAAGUGGAGUAAUCUAUGAUCAAGUUUGUGUUUUUAGGAAAAUGACUACAUGUGAAAGAAUAAGAGGAAAAUCUGAAGUUAGGCAAAAAUGAGUGUAUUCAUAAUAAUAAUAAAAUAAUUUAUUUAGAGAUGACAAGGUAUUGAACAAAGACUGAAUGGGGGUAAAUCUUAAGAAUUUUUGACUCCGAUUUGGCAGACAUCUUUCCCAAUUAUAAACAGCAUAGCUCAUAGCACUAGACUGUAUGUGUGUGCAUAAAUUAUGUAUCACCUGAAUAGUAGAAAAUAAGGGAACAAUAAACAGAAUUUAGCGUGAUGAUUUUUGUGUGCUUUUAUAGCAUAAGCUGCUACAAAUUUUCUGAAUUUUCUAUUUUUUUUUUUUUUGUCUUUUUUGAGACAAGGUUCCACUAGGCAGUUCAGGCUGGACUGGAACUCACAGCAACCCUCCUAUCUCAGCCUUCCAAGUGCUGGAAUUAUAGGCAUGGGCCACCACGCCUGGCUCCUGAAUUCCUACUGAAUGGUGGGCUCAUAUUUGCUUAUAAAAUUGAUAGAGAGUCAGAGGGGGUGUAGUAGGGAGAG